AUUGAACGCUGGCGGAAUGCUUUACACAUGCAAGUCGAGCGGCAGCGCGGGGGCAACCCUGGCGGCGAGCGGCGAACGGGUGAGUAAUACACCGGAACGUGUCCUUCAAGUGGGGAGUAGCUCGGCGAAAGCCGGAUUAAUACCGCAUAAGCUCUGAGGAGGAAAGCGGGGGACGUGGUAACGGCCUCGCGCUGUUGGAGCGGCCGAUGUCGGAUUAGCUAGUUGGUGGGGUAAAGGCCCACCAAGGCGACGAUCCGUAGCUGGUCUGAGAGGAUGAUCAGCCACACUGGAACUGAGACACGGUCCAGACUCCUACGGGAGGCAGCAGUGGGGAAGUUUUGGACAAUGGGGGCGAACCCUGAUCCAGCCAUUCCGCGUGAGUGAAGAAGGCCUGGUGUAAGA
This 402-nucleotide ribosomal RNA is filed under the name uncultured bacterium. RNAcentral's name for it is "bacterial SSU rRNA". It matches the Rfam family "Bacterial small subunit ribosomal RNA", at positions 29 to 430 of the family's 1533-position model. The record is from RNAcentral.